CAGUCGAGCGGUAGAGAGAAGCUUGCUUCUCUUGAGAGCGGCGGACGGGUGAGUAAUGCCUAGGAAUCUGCCUGGUAGUGGGGGAUAACGUUCGGAAACGGACGCUAAUACCGCAUACGUCCUACGGGAGAAAGCAGGGGACCUUCGGGCCUUGCGCUAUCAGAUGAGCCUAGGUCGGAUUAGCUAGUUGGUGAGGUAAUGGCUCACCAAGGCUACGAUCCGUAACUGGUCUGAGAGGAUGAUCAGUCACACUGGAACUGAGACACGGUCCAGACUCCUACGGGAGGCAGCAGUGGGGAAUAUUGGACAAUGGGCGAAAGCCUGAUCCAGCCAUGCCGCGUGUGUGAAGAAGGUCUUCGGAUUGUAAAGCACUUUAAGUUGGGAGGAAGGGCAGUUACCUAAUACGUGAUUGUUUUGACGUU
RNAcentral lists this ribosomal RNA (422 nucleotides) under Pseudomonas sp. 8D56. RNAcentral's name for it is "bacterial SSU rRNA". It matches the Rfam family "Bacterial small subunit ribosomal RNA", at positions 59 to 476 of the family's 1533-position model. Lineage: Bacteria; Pseudomonadati; Pseudomonadota; Gammaproteobacteria; Pseudomonadales; Pseudomonadaceae. The record is from RNAcentral.